ACACGGAAGGUGCAAGCGCUAACCGGAACCACCGGGCGCAAAGCGCUCGCAGGCGGCUUUGUAAGUCAGGUGUGAAAGCCCACGGCUCAACCGUGGAAUUGCACUUGAUACUGCAUUGCUUGAGUUCGGGAGAGGGUAGUGGAAUUCCAGGUGUAGGAGUGAAAUCCGUAGAGAUCUGGAGGAACACCAGUGGCGAAGGCGACUACCUGGACCGAUACUGACACUGAGGAGCGAAAGCGUGGGGAGC
Molecule: ribosomal RNA, 247 nt
Filed under: uncultured bacterium
Lineage: Bacteria
Description: partial 16S ribosomal RNA
Rfam family: Bacterial small subunit ribosomal RNA
Source: RNAcentral